Molecule: long non-coding RNA, 281 nt
Organism: Rhea pennata
Lineage: Eukaryota; Metazoa; Chordata; Aves; Rheiformes; Rheidae
Exons: 3
Source: RefSeq, a predicted model, not a curated record
GCCCGGCCCGCUCCGGCCCCGCUCCAGCCCCGCCGCCCGGCCCGGCCCGGCCCGGCCCCGCCGCCGAGCGGAGCAGGUGCGAGAGGCAGGAGCAGCGUCCUGAUGUCCCCGCGGCGCUGCCGGAGCAGGGAAAGCCGAGGCCUGGGGGCCGCGAGCGUCGCCGUGGAGCAACCACCGAGGCGGCGGCUCCGCAGGGCUAAGCCGCGGUGCGGGCCUGCAGGACCCCAUCCUGCCCGAAGAAGGGCCCGUCCUCCGACACGGACGAGACGAGGAACGAAGAG